CACUCCUGCGGGAGGCAGCAGUGGGGAAUUUUGGACAAUGGGCGAAAGCCUGAUCCAGCCAUGCCGCGUGCAGGAUGAAGGCCUUCGGGUUGUAAACUGCUUUUGUACGGAACGAAACGGCCUUUUCUAAUAAAGAGGGCUAAUGACGGUACCGUAAGAAUAAGCACCGGCUAACUACGUGCCAGCAGCCGCGGUAAUACGUAGGGUGCAAGCGUUAAUCGGAAUUACUGGGCGUAAAGCGUGCGCAGGCGGUUAUGUAAGACAGUUGUGAAAUCCCCGGGCUCAACCUGGGAACUGCAUCUGUGACUGCAUAGCUAGAGUACGGUAGAGGGGGAUGGAAUUCCGCGUGUAGCAGUGAAAUGCGUAGAUAUGCGGAGGAACACCGAUGGCGAAGGCAAUCCCCUGGACCUGUACUGACGCUCAUGCACGAAAGCGUGGGGAGCAAACAGGAUUAGAUACCCCUGUAGUCCC
Molecule: ribosomal RNA, 471 nt
Filed under: uncultured organism
Description: partial 16S ribosomal RNA
Rfam family: Bacterial small subunit ribosomal RNA
Source: RNAcentral